RNAcentral lists this ribosomal RNA (247 nucleotides) under uncultured bacterium. RNAcentral describes it as "partial 16S ribosomal RNA". It matches the Rfam family "Bacterial small subunit ribosomal RNA", at positions 86 to 334 of the family's 1533-position model. The record is from RNAcentral.
AGAUGGCGACCGGCGCACGGGUGAGUAACACGUAUCCAACCUGCCGAUAACUCGGGGAUAGCCUUUCGAAAGAAAGAUUAAUACCCGAUGGUAUAAUCAGACCGCAUGGUUUGAUUAUUAAAGAAUUUCGGUUAUCGAUGGGGAUGCGUUCCAUUAGGCAGUUGGUGAGGUAACGGCUCGCCAAACCUUCGAUGGAUAGGGGUUCUGAGAGGAAGGUCCCCCACAUUGGAACUGAGACACGGUCCAA